CCAAUAGCGUAUAUUAAAGUUGUUGCAGUUAAAAAGCUCGUAGUUGAAUUUCGGGAUCAGUACGCUGGUCGUGCCUUCGGUAUGAACUGGUGUCACUGGUUCCUCCCUUCUGAAGAACCGUCAUGCCAUUCAGUUGGUGUGGCGGGAAAUCAGGACUGUUACUUUGAAAAAAUUAGAGUGUUUAAAGCAGGCUCGCGCUUGAAUACAUUAGCAUGGAAUA
This 220-nucleotide ribosomal RNA is filed under the name uncultured Glomus. Its description in RNAcentral is "partial small subunit ribosomal RNA". It matches the Rfam family "Eukaryotic small subunit ribosomal RNA", at positions 591 to 816 of the family's 1831-position model. The record is from RNAcentral. Lineage: Eukaryota; Fungi; Glomeromycota; Glomeromycetes; Glomerales; Glomeraceae.